Molecule: long non-coding RNA, 3245 nt
Organism: Pan paniscus (pygmy chimpanzee)
Lineage: Eukaryota; Metazoa; Chordata; Mammalia; Primates; Hominidae
Source: Ensembl
CUACUUAACUGAUUGUGAAUUAACAUUAUUUGUGUUAUAGAAUGAAUUGGAAAAGCAAAUACUUCUGUGUUCUACUGUCAAAGGUUGGGAGGCAGACCAUGAAUGCUGUGGCCUCUGCACUCAAAGAAAGAAAAACUGGAAUCCAUUUCAAGCUAAAGAGGAAAUUCAACCUGGACUAUCCUUCUUUCAAGAAAAUUAACAAAGUACCAAUGGAGUUCUUUAUCUAUGGAGUGCAGACUUCAUUAAUUAAUCCUUUUUAUCUGUGACAGCUAAAGAUUUGCUGAAGCCUUGGAUGCCUUCAGAGAAGCUUAGAAGGCAGGAUCAGCUGCUUUCCCACACCUAAAUCCGUUUCCUCUGCACUAGCUAACUGCUGCACUGAAGAUUCUACAAAAGGGCAUAAUGUGAAAGAAAGGCAAAGCAAUGCUGGUAUUGUUGUAAUAUGAUGUUUAUGGUAGAAGCAACAUUUUUGACCUUUCUUCCUGUGGGGCACUCUUGUUGGUUCCUCAGUGUAUUAGAAAACUAAAAAAAUGAGCACUUAUUUACUUCCUGCAGUAAGAAGUCUGAUGUUAAGCAGCUCAGAAAUUUUAAAAGGCAGCAUAACAAUGCCAUCAAGAAUCCAUGUUCUCAUCUUUCUACUUCUCCAUCCUUACGUGUUGGCAUGUAUUUUCAUGCCUGUUUUAACGUAGGGGCAAGAGAAAAGUUGUGCCUUAAAGUUUACAUCUUUGUUACAGAUAAGUACAAAAGAAAAAUAUGGACAGUACUGAGUCAUAUUAAUUGAGUUAGUCCCUUUUUGACAAGAACAGAAAAUACCUUAAAGUUUUGUAAUGUAACAUUUUAAGUAAACAAUUUUGGGACAGUUUAUAUUGAAAGAAAAAUUGUGAAGAUAGUACAAAGAGUUUCCAUAUACUUUUAACCCGGUUGCUCCUACUGUUAAUUUCUUACAUUAUAUGCUAAUUUAUUAUAAUUAAACCAAUAUUAAUAUAUUAUUAACUAAAGCCCCCACUUUAUUCGGCUUUUCUUAAUCGUUAACAUAUCUUUUUUGUCUGUGUAGGAUUCCAUCUACAACACUUCAUUGCACUUAGUUAUUAUAUGUCCUUAGAUGCUUCUUGGCUACAACAGUUUUUCAGACUUUCCUUACUUUUAAUGACCUUGAAAGUGCCGAGAAGUACUAGUCAUGCUUUGUAGAAGUUGGGGCUUGUCUGAUGUUUUUCUCAUGAUUAGGCUGUGGUUACGUUCUUCAAAAAGGAAGAUCACAGAAAUAAAAUAUCAUUUUCUUCAAGUCAUGCCAAGGAUCUAUACUAUCAACAUGACUUGUGACUGCUAAUACUGACUUUGAUCACAUGGCUGAAUUAGUUUUUCAGAUUUCUCCUCAGUAAACUUAUUUUUUCCAUCCUGUACUCUUUAGAAAGAAAUUACUCUGUGUAGCUCUCACUUAAAGAACAGAGGCUCUUAGUGGUGGCUCAUGCCUUAAUCCCAAUACUUUGGGAGGCUGAGGCAGGUGAAUUGCUUGGCCCAGGAAUUUGAGACCAGCCUGGGCAACAUGGCGAAACACCUUCUCUACAAAAAAUAAAAACAAAUUAGUCAGGCAUGGUGGCAAACGUCUGUAGACCCAGCUACUCAGUAGGCUGAGGUGGGAGGAUUGCUUGAGAUUGGGAGGUUGAGGCUGCAAUGAGCUGAGUUGUGCCACUUUACUUCAGCCUGGAUGACAGAGCAAGACCCUCUCUCAAAAAAUAAUAAGAAAAAGAAUAGAGGUUCUGCUCUACCUCCUUAAAGGUAGAUUAUCUACAGAAAUUAUUUGGAAUUUCAGGUGACAGCCUGGGAACCUAUGCAAUGGGCCUCAAAGUACAUAAAAAACAUUGUAAUCUUUAAUUGGUAUGUCUGAAAAAUUACUUAAAAUAAUCCUAAACUUAAUUCAUAGUAUUAUUUCUUAAAGUAAGUUUUCUCCACCUACUCCUUAGUAUCUUUCUUAUCUUGCAGAUUUACUAAAGUUUCUCUGUUCAAGCUAUGUUCUCAAAUUAAUAAUGAAUGUCAUACAAAAAACCCCUUAAAAUCCCCCCAAAAUUUAUAUUUAAGGCUUUUUUCCUCUUUUUCUCCACUUUUGUUCUUUCUAUAGUUCUUUAUUUCUUAUUCUGGGGACACAUUUCUCUCCAUAUCUAUGAAAAAAUAUUCUAUAUCCCAGUUUAGAUGAUUGUGUAUCUCUAUCUAUUGAUAGAGAGAUAUCCAUUGUGUAUCUCUAUCUAUUGAUAUCUAUCUUUCUCCAUUCUAUUGAUUCUAGAUCACACAAACUCCUUAACUAGACUGGUUGGCCCAGAACUUUUCCUAAAUGAUGGAGGCAUGGAGUGAAGUGCAGAGACAAAAGCCAGAAUGACUUUUAUUAGUCGGCAGUAGAGGAUAAAAAGAAUAGGUUGAACACAUGUAAUUAAAUACAUUUUAUUUGGCCCAUAGUAACUUAAUAUUUGAGAGGAGGAUGUUACUUAGGUCACAUGUGUGACUUAAUGGGCAAUUUCUUUAGCCAAAAUGUCAUCAAGUGAAUUGGCAACUGCAGAUUAACAGUGCAAAAGUUUGCUUAAUUUGUGCCCACAGUGCCUGAAGAGAGCAGUACCUAAAAUUCUCAUUUGUGAUUAGUAUUAGGUGAAAAUACUCAGCUCCUGUGUCAACUAGCGUGACCUGAAGCGCUUUAUUUAGAUAUUAAUCAUGUUAUAAUUAAAUAAAAUGCUGGCUUACUUCAGUUAUACUACAGAUCAUGGUGCCCCUUUUUCUAUAGUCAUGAUCAUUGAGGAGUAGAAUACUGCUUAUAAAUUUAAUCAAAAUAUAUUUGUUGUCUAAUUUCUAAUAGAAAAUUUUACAUAAAGCUAAUUUAAAAAGCUGACAUGAGCCAUUUUUUUUGAAAGAGAAAGGUUAGAGGAUGAAAACAGUUUUUAAAAGUACCUGUAGUAUUCUAAAAAAUAAAUUAAUUUUAAUAAACAUAUCUCUAGUUUUGUGGGCUUUUCUUAUAACUUCUCAUUACUUCCUCAGCUAUUCAUUUUGUGAUGUCCCUGUGUCAGUUGCAGUGUUUCCUGUGGGACAACUGUGUCUUAAUAUUUUAGUAAGAGGACAGCCAUGUAAUUAUCUAUAAAUAAUUUAGCAUGUGUUUCAUUUAUGUGAAAAUGAUCCAAUUAGCCAAAGUGGGGGAAAAAUAAAAACUUUCUAUGAAAUGUUAAGCCACUUACAGUAUGGUUUAAUUAAUUAAUUCAUUAUUACUUUAG